RNAcentral lists this ribosomal RNA (1326 nucleotides) under Neosetophoma samarorum. Its description in RNAcentral is "eukaryotic LSU rRNA". It matches the Rfam family "Eukaryotic large subunit ribosomal RNA", at positions 68 to 1414 of the family's 3401-position model. The record is from RNAcentral. Lineage: Eukaryota; Fungi; Ascomycota; Dothideomycetes; Pleosporales; Phaeosphaeriaceae.
ACAGGGAUUGCCCUAGUAACGGCGAGUGAAGCGGCAACAGCUCAAAUUUGAAAUCUGGCUCUUUCAGAGUCCGAGUUGUAAUUUGCAGAGGGCGCUUUGGCGUUGGCAGCGGUCCAAGUUCUUUGGAACAGGACGUCACAGAGGGUGAGAAUCCCGUACGUGGUCGCUAGCCUUCGCCGUGUAAAGCCCCUUCGACGAGUCGAGUUGUUUGGGAAUGCAGCUCUAAAUGGGAGGUAAAUUUCUUCUAAAGCUAAAUACUGGCCAGAGACCGAUAGCGCACAAGUAGAGUGAUCGAAAGAUGAAAAGCACUUUGGAAAGAGAGUCAAAUAGCACGUGAAAUUGUUGAAAGGGAAGCGCUUGCAGCCAGACUUGCCUGUAGUUGCUUAUCUAGACUUUUGUCUAGUGCACUCUUCUGCGGGCAGGCCAGCAUCAGUCUAGGCGGUUGGAUAAAGGUCUCUGUCAUGUACCUCUCUUCGGGGAGGCCUUAUAGGGGAGACGACAUGCAACCAGCCUGGACUGAGGUCCGCGCAUCUGCUAGGAUGCUGGCGUAAUGGCUGUAAGCGGCCCGUCUUGAAACACGGACCAAGGAGUCUAACAUCUAUGCGAGUGUUUGGGUGUCAAGCCCAGACGCGUAAUGAAAGUGAACGGAGGUGGGAACCCUUUGGGUGCACCAUCGACCGAUCCUGAUGUCUUCGGAUGGAUUUGAGUAAGAGCAUGGCUGUUGGGACCCGAAAGAUGGUGAACUAUGCUUGAAUAGGGUGAAGCCAGAGGAAACUCUGGUGGAGGCUCGCAGCGGUUCUGACGUGCAAAUCGAUCGUCAAAUUUGGGCAUAGGGGCGAAAGACUAAUCGAACUAUCUAGUAGCUGGUUCCUGCCGAAGUUUCCCUCAGGAUAGCAGUAACGUAUUCAGUUUUAUGAGGUAAAGCGAAUGAUUAGAGGCCUGGGGGUUGAAACAACCUUCACCUAUUCUCAAACUUUAAAUAUGUAAGAAGUCCUUGUUACUUGAUUGAACGUGGACACUUGAAUGUACCGUUACUAGUGGGCCAUUUUUGGUAAGCAGAACUGGCGAUGCGGGAUGAACCGAACGCGGGGUUAAGGUGCCAGAAUAUACGCUCAUCAGACACCACAAAAGGUGUUAGUUCAUCUAGACAGCAGGACGGUGGCCAUGGAAGUCGGAAUCCGCUAAGGAGUGUGUAACAACUCACCUGCCGAAUGAACUAGCCCUGAAAAUGGAUGGCGCUCAAGCGUAUUACCCAUACCCCGCCGCCGGGGCAGAAUUUAUGCCCCGGCGAGUAGGCAGGCGUGGAGGCUCGUGACGAAGCCUUGG